Molecule: ribosomal RNA, 253 nt
Filed under: uncultured bacterium
Lineage: Bacteria
Description: partial 16S ribosomal RNA
Rfam family: Bacterial small subunit ribosomal RNA
Source: RNAcentral
UACAGAGGUCUCAAGCGUUGUUCGGAUUCAUUGGGCGUAAAGCGUGCGUAGGCGGUUCGUUAAGUUCGUUGUGAAAGCCCCGGGCUCAACCUGGGAAUGGCAAUGGAAACUGGCGGGCUUGAGUAUGGCAGAGGGGGGUGGAAUUCCGCGUGUAGCAGUGAAAUGCGUAGAGAUGCGGAGGAACACCGAUGGCGAAGGCAGCCCCCUGGGCCAAUACUGACGCUCAGGCACGAAAGCGUGGGGAGCAAACAGG